This 253-nucleotide ribosomal RNA is filed under the name uncultured bacterium. RNAcentral's name for it is "partial 16S ribosomal RNA". It matches the Rfam family "Bacterial small subunit ribosomal RNA", at positions 524 to 776 of the family's 1533-position model. The record is from RNAcentral.
UACGUAGGGGGCAAGCGUUGUCCGGAUUCAUUGGGCGUAAAGAGCUCGUAGGCGGUUUGUUGCGUCGGCUGUGAAAUCCCGAGGCUCAACCUCGGGUCUGCAGUCGAUACGAGCAAACUAGAGUGUUGCAGGGGAGACUGGAAUUCCUGGUGUAGCGGUGAAAUGCGCAGAUAUCAGGAGGAACACCGGUGGCGAAGGCGGGUCUCUGGGCAACAACUGACGCUGAGGAGCGAAAGCGUGGGGAGCGAACAGG